CCGUAGCAAAGCCUGGUUAUAGCGUCGGUCUUAUAAACCGAAUGUCGUGGGAUCGAAUCCCACCUGGACCA
Molecule: transfer RNA, 71 nt
Filed under: Promethearchaeota archaeon
Lineage: Archaea; Promethearchaeati; Promethearchaeota
Description: Candidatus Lokiarchaeota archaeon (anaerobic digester metagenome) tRNA-Ile
Rfam family: tRNA
About the family: Transfer RNA (tRNA) molecules are approximately 80 nucleotides in length. Their secondary structure includes four short double-helical elements and three loops (D, anti-codon, and T loops). Further hydrogen bonds mediate the characteristic L-shaped molecular structure. tRNAs have two regions of fundamental functional importance: the anti-codon, which is responsible for specific mRNA codon recognition, and the 3' end, to which the tRNAs corresponding amino acid is attached (by aminoacyl-tRNA synthetases). tRNAs cope with the degeneracy of the genetic code in two manners: having more than one tRNA (with a specific anti-codon) for a particular amino acid; and 'wobble' base-pairing, i.e. permitting non-standard base-pairing at the 3rd anti-codon position.
Source: RNAcentral